RNAcentral lists this ribosomal RNA (115 nucleotides) under uncultured bacterium. Its description in RNAcentral is "partial 16S ribosomal RNA". It matches the Rfam family "Bacterial small subunit ribosomal RNA", at positions 1369 to 1482 of the family's 1533-position model. The record is from RNAcentral.
CGUUCCCGGGCCUUGUACACACCGCCCGUCACACCACGAAAGUCGGCAAUACCCGAAGCCGGUGGGCUAACCCGUAAGGGAGGCAGCCGUCGAAGGUAGGGUGAUGAUUGGGGUG